UUUUUUUUUUUUUUGAGACGGAGUCUCGCUCUGUGGCCCAGGCUGGAGUGCAGUGGCCGGAUCUCAGCUCACUGCAAGCUCCGCCUCCCGGGUUCACGCCAUUCUCCUGCCUCAGCCUCCCGAGUAGCUGGGACUACAGGUGCCCGCCACCUCGCCUGGCUAGUUUUUUUGUAUUUUUUAGUAGAGACGGGGUUUCACCGUGUUAGCCAGGAUGGUCUCGAUCUCCUGACCUCAUGAUCCACCCGUCUCAACCUCCCAAAGUGCUGGGAUUACAGGCUUGAGCCACCGCGCCCGGCCAUGAGAGUUGAUUUCUAUUGCUUGGAACCGAGAACCCUGACCAGUACAUUCAACUUGCCUGGAUCUGUUUACCCUAAUGACACACAGGGACACCGACUCUUACUUUGUGAGUUGACGUGAGAGUUAAAUGAUGUGAAGUGUUCCUAGAAGGCCCUACAACAAUGGUAAACACAUAGUAAACAUUCAGUAAGUAUGAAUGCCCUUCCUGCAUCCUUAAAACUGCUCCGAAGCCAACCAACAAGAGGAAAUGGGUUACAUCAGUUGCAUCGAUGCAGGUUUUCCCAGAGAGGUUUUGCUUGAAGGUUUGUGAGAAGUAAAACAAUGUUUACCAAUCUGCCGGCAGUACAGGCUUAAUUAGUGUUUGCAAACUGCUUGACAUUCUUGAAAGAAAGGUGCCACCCAAGCACAGGCCAUUAUCAUAAUCAACUGGUGGCACACAUGCCUGAAACGAGAAAUGCAAAACUACCAAGGAUGGGAACGGACUGCACGGAGGCCCAGGCGACACUAAUGUUUCUUUUGUAAAAAAAAAAAAAAAAAAAAGCCAUAUUGAGAUAUCAUUCACUUACCGUAUGAUACACUGUAUUAAAGGGUACAAUUCAGGGGUGUAUAGUGUGUUCACAGGUAUGUGCAACCACUGCUGUCAACUUUAGAACAUUUUCAUCACCGCAAAGAGAAACCCUAUACCUUUUAGCCGUAACCUCCCUACUUCCCAAUCUCCCCAUCCCUAAGCAACCACUAAUCUACUUUGCAUCUCAGUACAUUAGGCAUCGUUCUAGACAGUUCAUAUGGAAUAUUAAUGGAAUCAUAUAAUGUGGUCUGUUGUGAUUGGCUUCUUUCCCUUAGCUGAUGUUUUCAGGGUUCAUCCGUGUUUCAGGAUGUAUCUGAACAUCGUAUCUUUUUGUGGCCAAACAGUAUCCACCCCACACCAUGCACUGUAUGAAUACACCACACUGUGUUUAUCCAUCUACCCGUUGUUGGACAUUUGGAUGAUCUCCAACUGUUUGCUAUUUGCAUGGCUUUGCUCCUGCCGUGAACGUUCAUAUGCAAGUUUUUGUUUCCACACGUUUUUAAUUCUUUUGGGUGUACAUGUAGGUGUGGAAUUGCUGGGUCUUACGGUAUGUUUAACUUUUCAAGGAACCACCAGACUGUUUUCUGCAGCAGCAGUGCCAGGUUACAAUCCCACCAGACUAGUGUCUUUUUGAUCUCAUGAAGAUGUUGGCACUUCCUGAUAUUUCUAAAUAUUCAUGCUAGAACCCUUUAAGACAUUUUUUUUAUUAUUCAGAAAAUUGUACACAUUUUCUGCCUUCACACGUCUGCCCACUAUGUCCUUUGCUGCCAAAGCGUAUCCAGCUUCUCUCCAGCCAGACAUGCACCACACCUCUGUUGCUGUGUUGGAUUUCAAAAUUCAGCAAUCCCACCCCCUUCCACUCUAAGCCUUGCUGCAGACUUUAUGACUAACUAGCUGUGUAGCCAUCUCUAAGUCAGCCAGCGUUACACCCCGUCUCACACUCUUCUCAUAUAUUUAGUUUCAUUGCUCUGAGAGUAAAUGAAGAAAUAAUAAUCAUGUGUUUUCUCUUAUUUGGUCCUAACUAGUUCGUAUGUGUACAAACCCCUGAUUUGAAGCUUAACUUUUUAACAUGUAUGAUGGAAAAAAACAUGAUAAUUUUGUACAUUC
Molecule: long non-coding RNA, 1972 nt
Filed under: Macaca fascicularis (crab-eating macaque)
Lineage: Eukaryota; Metazoa; Chordata; Mammalia; Primates; Cercopithecidae
Description: lncRNA (ENSMFAG00000047578.1)
Source: RNAcentral